Molecule: ribosomal RNA, 1444 nt
Filed under: metagenome
Description: bacterial SSU rRNA
Rfam family: Bacterial small subunit ribosomal RNA
Source: RNAcentral
AGAGUUUGAUCCUGGCUCAGGAUGAACGCUGGCGGCGUGCUUAACACAUGCAAGUCGAACAAACCUUCGGGUUAGUGGCGGACGGGUGAGUAACGCGUGAGAAUCUGCCCUCAGGAGGGGGAUAACGGCUGGAAACGGCCGCUAAUACCCCAUAUGCCGAGAGGUGAAAUGAAUUUCGCCUGAGGAUGAGCUCGCGUCUGAUUAGCUAGUUGGUGGGGUAAGAGCUUACCAAGGCUUCGAUCAGUAGCUGGUCUGAGAGGAUGAUCAGCCACACUGGGACUGAGACACGGCCCAGACUCCUACGGGAGGCAGCAGUGGGGAAUUUUCCGCAAUGGGCGAAAGCCUGACGGAGCAACGCCGCGUGAGGGAUGAAGGCCUCUGGGCUGUAAACCUCUUUUCUCAAGGAAGAAGAUCUGACGGUACUUGAGGAAUAAGCCACGGCUAAUUCCGUGCCAGCAGCCGCGGUAAUACGGGAGUGGCAAGCGUUAUCCGGAAUUAUUGGGCGUAAAGCGUCCGCAGGCGGCCUUGAAAGUCUGCUGUUAAAGCGUGGAGCUUAACUCCAUUUCAGCAGUGGAAACUACAAGGCUAGAGUGUGGUAGGGGCAGAGGGAAUUCCCGGUGUAGCGGUGAAAUGCGUAGAUAUCGGGAAGAACACCAGUGGCGAAGGCGCUCUGCUGGGCCAUAACUGACGCUCAUGGACGAAAGCCAGGGGAGCGAAAGGGAUUAGAUACCCCUGUAGUCCUGGCCGUAAACGAUGAACACUAGGUGUCGGGGGAAUCGACCCCUCCGGUGUCGUAGCCAACGCGUUAAGUGUUCCGCCUGGGGAGUACGCACGCAAGUGUGAAACUCAAAGGAAUUGACGGGGGCCCGCACAAGCGGUGGAGUAUGUGGUUUAAUUCGAUGCAACGCGAAGAACCUUACCAGGGUUUGACAUCCUGCGAAUCCCUUGGAAACGAGGGAGUGCCUUCGGGAGCGCAGUGACAGGUGGUGCAUGGCUGUCGUCAGCUCGUGUCGUGAGAUGUUGGGUUAAGUCCCGCAACGAGCGCAACCCACGUCUUUAGUUGCCAGCAUUGAGUUGGGCACUCUAGAGAGACCGCCGGUGAUAAACCGGAGGAAGGUGUGGAUGACGUCAAGCCAUCAUGCCCCUUACAUCCUGGGCUACACACGUACUACAAUGCUACGGACAAAGGGCAGCAAACUCGCGAGAGCUAGCAAAUCCCAUAAACCGUGGCUCAGUUCAGAUCGUAGGCUGCAACUCGCCUACGUGAAGGAGGAAUCGCUAGUAAUCGCAGGUCAGCAUACUGCGGUGAAUACGUUCCCGGGCCUUGUACACACCGCCCGUCACACCAUGGAAGUUGGCCACGCCCGAAGUCGUUACUCCAACCCGCAAGGGAGGAGGAUGCCGAAGGUGGGGCUGAUGACUGGGGUGAAGUCGGAACAAGGUA